AACACAUGCAAGUCGAGGGGCAGCGGGGGAGAGGGCUUGCCCUCUCCCGCCGGCGACCGGCGCACGGGUGAGUAACACGUAUGCAACCUGCCCUCUGCAGGGGGAUAAGCGGAAGAAAUUCCGUCUAAUACCGCAUAACGCCCCGGGGAGACAUCUCCGCGGGGCCAAAGGAGGCGACUCCGGCAGAGGAUGGGCAUGCGGCGCAUUAGCUAGUCGGCGGGGUAACGGCCCACCGAGGCGACGAUGCGUAGGGGUUCUGAGAGGAAGGUCCCCCACACUGGUACUGAGACACGGACCAGACUCCUACGGGAGGCAGCAGUGAGGAAUAUUGGUCAAUGGGCGAAAGCCUGAACCAGCCAAGUCGCGUGAGGGAAGACGGUCCUAUGGAUUGUAAACCUCUUUUGCAGGGGAGCAAGGACGGCCACGUGUGGCCGUUUGGAGAGUACCCUGAGAAAAAGCAUCGGCUAACUCCGUGCCAGCAGCCGCGGUAAUACGGAGGAUGCGAGCGUUAUCCGGAUUUAUUGGGUUUAAAGGGUGCGUAGGCGGAACUGUUAAGUCAGCGGUAAAAAAAUUAAUUSGGGGCUCAACCCCGUAKUGCCGUUGAAACUGGCGGUCUUGAGUUGGGGCGAGAAGUAUGCGGAAUGCGUGGUGUAGCGGUGAAAUGCAUAGAUAU
This 673-nucleotide ribosomal RNA is filed under the name uncultured Bacteroidales bacterium. RNAcentral describes it as "bacterial SSU rRNA". It matches the Rfam family "Bacterial small subunit ribosomal RNA", at positions 50 to 697 of the family's 1533-position model. Lineage: Bacteria; Pseudomonadati; Bacteroidota; Bacteroidia; Bacteroidales. The record is from RNAcentral.